UACGGAAGGCAGCAGUGGGGAAUAUUGCACAAUGGGCGCAAGCCUGAUGCAGCCAUGCCGCGUGUAUGAAGAAGGCCUUCGGGUUGUAAAGUACUUUCAGUCGUGAGGAAGGUGUUAAGGUUAAUAACCUUAGCAAUUGACGUUAGCGACAGAAGAAGCACCGGCUAACUCCGUGCCAGCAGCCGCGGUAAUACGGAGGGUGCGAGCGUUAAUCGGAAUUACUGGGCGUAAAGGGCACGCAGGCGGUUAAUUAAGUUGGAUGUGAAAUCCCCGGGCUUAACCUGGGGAUGGCAUUCAAGACUGGUUAGCUAGAGUCUUGUAGAGGGGGUAGAAUUCCAUGUGUAGCGGUGAAAUGCGUAGAGAUGUGGAGGAAUACCGGUGGCGAAGGCGGCCCCUGGACAAAGACUGACGCUCAUGUGCGAAAGCGUGGGGAGCAAACAGGGAUUAGAUACC
RNAcentral lists this ribosomal RNA (453 nucleotides) under uncultured bacterium. RNAcentral describes it as "bacterial SSU rRNA". It matches the Rfam family "Bacterial small subunit ribosomal RNA", at positions 340 to 786 of the family's 1533-position model. The record is from RNAcentral.